This 446-nucleotide ribosomal RNA is filed under the name uncultured bacterium. RNAcentral describes it as "partial 16S ribosomal RNA". It matches the Rfam family "Bacterial small subunit ribosomal RNA", at positions 338 to 795 of the family's 1533-position model. The record is from RNAcentral.
CCUACGGGAGGCAGCAGUCGAGAAUCAUUCACAAUGGGGGAAACCCUGAUGGUGCGACGCCGCGUGGGGGAAUGAAGGUCUUCGGAUUGUAAACCCCUGUCAUGUGGGAGCAAAUUAAAAAGAUAGUACCACAAGAGGAAGAGACGGCUAACUCUGUGCCAGCAGCCGCGGUAAUACAGAGGUCUCAAGCGUUGUUCGGAAUCACUGGGCGUAAGGCGUGCGUAGGCUGUUUCGUAAGUCGUGUGUGAAAGGCGCGGGCUCAACCCGCGGACGGCACAUGAUACUGCGAGACUAGAGUAAUGGAGGGGGAACCGGAAUUCUCGGUGUAGCAGUGAAAUGCGUAGAUAGCGAGAGGAACACUCGUGGCGAAGGCGGGUUCCUGGACAUUAACUGACGCUGAGGCACGAAGGCCAGGGGAGCGAAAGGGAUUAGAUACCCUGGUAGUC